AACGAACGCUGGCGGCGUGCUUAACACAUGCAAGUCGAGCGGGAAAGUUUCCUUCGGGAAGCGAGUACAGCGGCAGACGGGUGAGUACGACGUAGGUAACCUACCCUCGAGACUGGGAUAACCUGUCGAAAGACGGGCUAAUACCGGAUAAGACCACAAGGGCUGCGGCCUUUGAGGUAAAAGAUGGCCUCUGCUUGCAAGCUAUCACUUGGGGGAUGGGCCUGCGCGCCAUUAGCAGUUGGUGAGGUAACGGCUCACCAAGGCAAAGAUGGCUAGCUGGUCUGAGAGGAUGGCCAGCCACACUGGGACUGAGACACGGCCCAGACUCCUACGGGAGGCAGCAGUGGGGAAUCUUGCGCAAUGGGCGAAAGCCUGACGCAGCGACGCCGCGUGA
This 394-nucleotide ribosomal RNA is filed under the name uncultured bacterium. RNAcentral describes it as "bacterial SSU rRNA". It matches the Rfam family "Bacterial small subunit ribosomal RNA", at positions 29 to 404 of the family's 1533-position model. The record is from RNAcentral.